UGUCUCAGUUCAUCAG
This 16-nucleotide microRNA is filed under the name Corchorus olitorius. RNAcentral describes it as "mdo-miR-". Lineage: Eukaryota; Viridiplantae; Streptophyta; Magnoliopsida; Malvales; Malvaceae. The record is from RNAcentral.